UUUUUUUAUUGUUAUACAUGCAAUGUUUUUUAUACACAUACUCAAAUUAAAAUACACAAAGCAAAUCACAAACAUACACCUACACAACAAAACAUUUAUAUAACCCAAGGUUCGAAGGUACUAUAAUAAUAUAUACUUCUGCAACAUUGUCACAAUAUAAAGUUUUCAUUAAUCAUUUGAGAGAUAAAGCAAUGAUUACCUGUAUAACCACUUCUUCUUAAACCUUGUUACAAUGUGCCUGUCAUGGCUGCUUUUAACAGCAACUCAACAACCUGCUAUAAGCUAGGCUAGGGCUGCAAAAACAGUGAUUUAACUCCUAAAUGAUAGAGAAUUGAGCAGCGAGACUGGGGGCACCCUCAGGGCACAAUAGUGCCAGGAAAACGAAUAUGUUUUCCUGGCACUAUAGUGGUCCUUUAAUAGGAUUGCUAUAAGAAAGAGGCAUAAGACUAUUGUUUUUAACUUUGUUUUACCUAAUGUUCC
This is a non-coding RNA of Pelobates cultripes (western spadefoot toad), 480 nucleotides long. Lineage: Eukaryota; Metazoa; Chordata; Amphibia; Anura; Pelobatidae. The record is from the annotation of a GenBank genome assembly.